RNAcentral lists this ribosomal RNA (1395 nucleotides) under uncultured bacterium. RNAcentral's name for it is "bacterial SSU rRNA". It matches the Rfam family "Bacterial small subunit ribosomal RNA". The record is from RNAcentral.
AACGCUGGCGUGCGUGCCUAACACUGCAAUCUAACGAGAAAGCCUUAAUCUUCGGAUGGGCGAUAAAGUGGCGCACGGGUGAUAACGCGUAGGUAACCUACCCCCGGGCACCGGAAUAACAGUGCGAAAGUGCUGCUAAUACCGGAUACAUUGUGGAGCGGGAGCUUUGCGAUGAAAGUCGGCCUCUCGCAAAAGCCGAUGUUCGGGGAUGGGCCUGCGUCCUAUCAGCUGGUUGGUAGGGUAACGGCCUACCAAGGCGACGACGGGUACUGGUCUGAGAGGAUGAUCAGCCACUCUGGCACUGGAACACGGGCAACUCCUACGGGAGGCAUCAUGAGGAAUUUUGCGCAAUGGCCGCAAGGCUGACGCAGCAACGCCCGUGGGUGAAGAAGGCCUUCGGGUCUUAAAGCCCUGUCAGGUGGGAAGAACACCAUGGGGACGAACAAGCUUCAUGGCUGACGGUACCACCAGAGGAAGCACCGGCUAACUCCGUGCCAGCGCCGCGGUAAUACGGAGGGUGCGAGCGUUAUUCGGAAUUACUGGGCGUAAAGCGCGUGCAGGCGGUUUGGCAAGUCUGAAUGUGAAAGCCCCGGGCUUAACCUGGGAAGUGCAUUGGAAACUGCCGGACUUGAGUACUGGAGAGGAAGGGGGAAUUCCCGGUGUAGAGGUGAAAUUCGUAGAGAUCGGGAGGAAUACCAGUGGCGAAGCGCCCUUCUGGACGGUUACUGACGCUGAGACGCGAAAGCGUGGGGAGCAACAGGAUUAGAUACCCUGGUAGUCCACGCUGUAACGAUGACCUAGGUGUAGCGGGUACUCAUUCCUGCUGUGCCGCAGCUAACGCGUUUAUGCUCCCCUGGGGAUUACCGUCCCAAAAUAAACUCAAGAAUUGACCGGGGCCCCCGCGCCAGCGGUGGAUUGUGGUUUUAUUCGUCGCACGCGAAGACCUUACCUGGGCUUGACAUCCCCGGACGCCCCUGGAAACAGGGAUUCCCCUUCGGGGGACCGGGAGACAGGUGCUGCAUGGCUGCGUCAGCUCGUGUCGUGAGAUGUUGGGUUAAGUCCCGCAACGAGCGCAACCCCUGCCUUUAGUUGCCAUCAUUGAGUUGGGCACUCAGAGGGACUGCCGGUGUGAAACCGGAGGAAGGUGGGGAUGACGUCAAGUCCUCAUGCCCUUUAUGCCCAGGGCUACACACGUACUACAAUGGGCGGUACAAAGGGAAGCGAGUCCGCGAGGAGGAGCCAACCCCAAAAAGCCGUUCACAGUUCGGAUCGGAGUCUGCAACUCGACUCCGUGAAGUUGGAAUCGCUAGUAAUCGCGGAUCAGCAUGCCGCGGUAUACGUUCCCGGGCCUUGUACACACCGCCCGUCACACCACGAAAGUCGGCUGUACCAGAA